UACGGAGGGUGCAAGCGUUAUCCGGAUUCACUGGGUUUAAAGGGUGCGUAGGUGGGUUGAUAAGUCAGUGGUGAAAUCCCCGAGCUUAACUUGGGAACUGCCAUUGAUACUAUUGAUCUUGAAUACCGUGGAGGUCAGCGGAAUAUGUCAUGUAGCGGUGAAAUGCUUAGAUAUGACAUAGAACACCAAUUGCGAAGGCGGCUGGCUACGCGAAUAUUGACACUGAUGCACGAAAGCGUGGGGAUCAAACAGG
RNAcentral lists this ribosomal RNA (253 nucleotides) under uncultured bacterium. Its description in RNAcentral is "partial 16S ribosomal RNA". It matches the Rfam family "Bacterial small subunit ribosomal RNA", at positions 524 to 776 of the family's 1533-position model. The record is from RNAcentral.